UGUCCCUACGGGGGGCAGCAGUGGGGAAUAUUGCACAAUGGGCGAAAGCCUGAUGCAGCAACGCCGCGUGAAGGGAGAAGGGUUUCGGCUCGUAAACUUCUAUCAACAGGGACGAAAGAAAUGACGGUACCUGAAUAAGAAGGCCCGGCUAACUACGUGCCAGCAGCCGCGGGAAUACGUAGGGGGCAAGCGUUAUCCGGAAUUACUGGGUGUAAAGGGUGAGUAGGCGGCAUGGUAAGCAAGAUGUGAAAGCCUUGGGCUUAACCCGAUGAUUGCAUUUGGAACUAUCAAGCU
RNAcentral lists this ribosomal RNA (294 nucleotides) under uncultured bacterium. RNAcentral's name for it is "partial 16S ribosomal RNA". It matches the Rfam family "Bacterial small subunit ribosomal RNA", at positions 334 to 642 of the family's 1533-position model. The record is from RNAcentral.